GAGGAAAGUCCGGACUCCACAGAGCACGGAUGUUGCUAACAGCAACCCAGGGCGACCUGAGGGCACGUGCAACAGAAAGUAGACCGCCUGCAGACGCAACAUCUGCAGGUAAGGGUGAAAGGGUGCGGUAAGAGCGCACCAGCACUGCAGGUGACUGUGGUGGCUAGGUAAACCCUUCCGGGAGCAAGGCAUGAUGGCGCACCGCUGCUUUGGUGCGCCGGCGCGGGCGUUUGAGGGCUGCUCGUCCAAGUCCGCGGGUAAGCCGCGUGAGGCUGCUAGCGAUGGCAGCCCGAGAUAGAUGAUUACCUCCCAUGCCAGGGGAGACCCCGCAUGGCAGACAAAAUCCGGCUUA
This 352-nucleotide RNase P RNA is filed under the name Corynebacterium kroppenstedtii. Its description in RNAcentral is "RNA component of RNase P". It matches the Rfam family "Bacterial RNase P class A", at positions 43 to 351 of the family's 367-position model. From Rfam's summary of the family: Ribonuclease P (RNase P) is a ubiquitous endoribonuclease, found in archaea, bacteria and eukarya as well as chloroplasts and mitochondria. Its best characterised activity is the generation of mature 5'-ends of tRNAs by cleaving the 5'-leader elements of precursor-tRNAs. Lineage: Bacteria; Bacillati; Actinomycetota; Actinomycetes; Mycobacteriales; Corynebacteriaceae. The record is from RNAcentral.